This 1074-nucleotide ribosomal RNA is filed under the name uncultured bacterium. RNAcentral's name for it is "bacterial SSU rRNA". It matches the Rfam family "Bacterial small subunit ribosomal RNA", at positions 1 to 1056 of the family's 1533-position model. The record is from RNAcentral.
CACUAGUGAUUAGAGUUUGAUCCUGGCUCAGGAUGAACGCUGGCGGCGUGCCUAAUACAUGCAAGUCGAACGCACAGCGAAAGGUGCUUGCACCUUUCAAGUGAGUGGCGAACGGGUGAGUAACACGUGGAUAACCUACCUCAAGGUUGGGGAUAACAUUUGGAAACAGAUGCUAAUACCGAAUAAAACUUCGUAUCGCAUGAUACAAGGUUAAAAGGCGCUACGGCGUCACCUAGAGAUGGAUCCGCGGUGCAUUAGUUAGUUGGUGGGGUAAAGGCCUACCAAGACAAUGAUGCAUAGCCGAGUUGAGAGACUGAUCGGCCACAUUGGGACUGAGACACGGCCCAAACUCCUACGGGAGGCUGCAGUAGGGAAUCUUCCACAAUGGGCGAAAGCCUGAUGGAGCAACGCCGCGUGUGUGAUGAAGGCUUUCGGGUCGUAAAGCACUGUUGUAUGGGAAGAACAGCUAGAGUAGGGAAUGACUUUAGUUUGACGGUACCAUACCAGAAAGGGACGGCUAAAUACGUGCCAGCAGCCGCGGUAAUACGUAUGUCCCGAGCGUUAUCCGGAUUUAUUGGGCGUAAAGCGAGCGCAGACGGUUGAUUAAGUCUGAUGUGAAAGCCCGGAGCUCAACUCCGGAAAGGCAUUGGAAACUGGUCAACUUGAGUGCAGUAGAGGUAAGUGGAACUCCAUGUGUAGCGGUGGAAUGCGUAGAUAUAUGGAAGAACACCAGCGGCGAAGGCGGCUUACUGGACUGUAACUGACGUUGAGGCUCGAAAGUGUGGGUAGCAAACAGGAUUAGAUACCCUGGUAGUCCACACCGUAAACGAUGAACACUAGGUGUUAGGAGGUUUCCGCCUCUUAGUGCCGAAGCUAACGCAUUAAGUGUUCCGCCUGGGGAGUACGACCGCAAGGUUGAAACUCAAAGGAAUUGACGGGGACCCGCACAAGCGGUGGANCAUGUGGUUUAAUNCGAACAACGCGAAAACCUUACCAGGUCUUGACAUCCUUUGAAGCUUUAAAGAUAGAAGUGUUCUCUCNGANACAANUGACAGGUGGUGCAUGGUCCUCCUC